UUUCGCCAAUGGGCGAAACCUGGAGGGACCAAUACCGCGGGAGGGAGGACGCCUUAUGGGUUUUAACCUUUUUUUUUCAGGGAGGAAUAAAUGACGUGUACCUGAAGAAUAAGCAUCGGCUAACUCCGUGCCAGCAGCCGCGGUAAGACGGAGGAUGCAAGUGUUAUCCGGAAUCACUGGGCGUAAAGCGUCUGUAGGUGGUUUAAUAAGUCAACUGUUAAAUCUUGAGGCUCAACUUCAAAAUCGCAGUCGAAACUAUUAGACUAGAGUAUAGUAGAGGUAAAGGGAAUUUCCAGUGGAGCGGUGAAAUGCGUAGAUAUUGGAAAGAACACCGAUGGCGAAAGCACUUUACUGGGCUAUUACUAACACUCAGAGACGAAAGCUAGGGUAGCAAAUGGGAUUAGAUACCCCAGUAGUCCUAGCCGUAAACAAUGGAUACUAGAUGUUGAACAGAUCGACCUGUGCAGUAUCAAAGCUAACGCGUUAAGUAUCCCGCCUGAGAUUCCCACGG
Molecule: ribosomal RNA, 511 nt
Filed under: uncultured bacterium
Lineage: Bacteria
Description: bacterial SSU rRNA
Rfam family: Bacterial small subunit ribosomal RNA
Source: RNAcentral